UUUAGUGCUUGGAUAAUCGCCUAAAAUGUUACUCAUAAGUUUAUAACACUACCAAAUAAGAAUAGUUCACCUUUUUAGUUUAAAAUAUGGAUUUUCACAUUUUUUUUUUAUUUAUCUCGAGUUUAUCAGUGUUACAGAUAGGGAAGUCUACAUUGGAUCUUUCUCAAAAGAAAAAAGAUGUCGCUUAGCAAAAAAAAAAAGAGUCCACAUUUGAAAACUCGUGUAUUAUUAAUCUUUAAGAAAACAUUUCGAUGUAAUAUAUUUUGCACACAUUUAUUGUUCCUUUCGUGUGGUUGAAUUCUACAAAAUUUUGUUUACUACAAAAAAGUCGCUUAGCAAAAAAAAAAAGAAAAAGAAGUCUACAUUAGAGAUUCGUGUAUAAUUCAUCUCUUAGAAAACAUUUUGAUGUAAUAUAUUUUGCACAGACUUAUUGUUCCUUUUGUGUGGUUGAAUUCUACAAAAUUUUGUUUACUAAAAAAGAAUUUGCUUAGCAAAAAAAAAAGAAAAAGAAAAAAGAGAAAAUUGGAAAAAUGAGACAUUCUCAAUUUGGAUUCGUCUAACUAAUACUUUGUCUAAUAUUUUUGUGCUUCUAGGAUUUUAAUUAAUGUUAAUACGAUUAUGCCCUUAGAUUAAUCAAAAUUUAAAUUUGAUUAAAAAAUAAAAUAAUUGUUAAUUGUUUUGUUAAUACAAUUUUGUCAGUAAAAAAGGAAGUUAAAAAAAAAAAAAAAAAAAGAAGCAAAGCACGGUAAACCUAAAAAUCUUGACUUCCUUCUCUCAUCUUCUUCGCUUCCAGACGAAAGCUUACCUCUUUCAUCCAUGUCUUGAUGCUUGAAGAGAGACAAGCUGGAACAUUUCAAGCGCCCAAGAUCUUUCUACGCUUUGAUUGAACACUUUGUACCUUUUUUCCAAAGUGAAUAACAAUUGUGUAUAUUUGUUUAUUCCAAGAGCCAGGAACAUAUUCCUCUUAUUGUUAACUAAACUGACGAAGUUAAACCAAUAAUGUAAUUUCAUUGAUGUUUUACUAAACACUGUGCAUAAAUAACAAACUUUGUUACAGGCCCCUUACACAUAAGGGAUAGCAAAGAUUGGAAAACUGUUUUUUUUUUUUGUUCAUGAAAUUGAUACAAGAAAAGAAAAUAUGUUAUGCACACAAAAAGAUCAUUGAUCUCUAUGGCGCUGUUUCAGUCCCCAAUGGUACUAUUUGACCACACAUUUCCUAGUCAGCCAAAAAACUCCACUUCUCACAACAAUGAGAUAUUCAUAUUUUGGGAGGAAAAAAAAAACGUGGGAGAGAAGAUACUCUGAAAGAUUUUAGGGUAGAUUUAGAGUAGAAUUAUGAAAGACAGUUUUUGAAAUAUGGAAAUUUAACCGAAUAUGGAAGUUUCCAUAUUUUCACGAUUUGCCUAGAAUAUGUACACUACCUAAGCAGAACACCGUAUAAUGGUGAGAGAUGUAUUCUUCCUGUAGGCGUCAUAUAAGGUAAAAGGCAGAACAAGUUAUGUCACGUAAUAUAACCAACAUAUAUCAUCGAGUUGUGGCUAUAUAUCGUUAUCAAGCUGUAGGUAUACCGAAGACAUCUUUCUUGAUUAUAACGUAACCGAAUCUAUCUUUGCUAGAAUAUACAAGAAAUGAUAGUUUACGGUAUAUACCUAUGAUAUAUCUGUGUUUAAAACUUAGAAUCAGACAUAUAAACUAGGUAGAUUAACAGAAUGAGUAUUCUAACUGUAGCUAGAAGAUAAAAUAAAAUAUGAUUCUAAUUUAUUUUUAAAAAAAAUUAAACAUAUAUAUUGUAAUACUUAUGUUUCCAACACUUUUCAUAUUUUUUUACAUUUUUAAAAUUUAAUUUACUAUUUUUCCCAUUAGAAAAGGGUAAAACAUGUCCAGAAUUGCCAAAAGUAUGAGAAGUCUUAUUUUGACAAACAAAAGUUCAAAGUGUCCCAUUUUUCUAAUUCUCCCAAGAAAAAAAUAUAUUCAUCUUUUAGAAAACAUUUUGAUGUAAUUUUGCACACACUUAUUGUUCCUUUUGUGUGUUUGAAUUCUACAAAAUUUUGUUUUCAAAUUUUGAUUUAUUUUUUGUCAGUUUUGGAGAAAAAGAUCAUUGGUUGUAACGUUGUGUUAUGGAUAUACCGUAUACGGGAAGAGUAAAAACUGAUCAUACAAAACGAUGAAAUAUUAGUAGGUAAAAUGAUACCUGGUUCAUUAAUUUGUUAAAAAAAGGGAAAAUUGCUAAAAGAGAACAAAAAAACAAGCUUGUUGUCCCUUUAGUAUAAAACCAACAUAAAGUUGUCUCAAUAGUAUAAUUUUUCUCAUAAUCCCAAAACUAACCCUAUAUUUAAUCUAAUUAAACACAAUUUAAAAGUUAAUUUGAAUUUAAAAAAAAAAGUUAAUGGAAAAAAGGUAAAAAACAGUUGAACGGCAAUCGAAAAAAAAAGAGGUAUAGAUAUGCAUCAUAGAGAACAAGAGUUUGUGAGAAGAAUCAAAAGAAAAACUAUGGAAAAACCAUAGAUUGAUGAAGAAGAGAAGGAAUAAUCGUUUUUAAAAAAAAAAAUUUAAGUAAAAUCGACCAUAACACGUUUUAGAAAGUUAAAAUAUUUCUAAGAGAUUUUUAGAAUAUUUUCUUAACUGAAAUUUCAUUAAUUUUCGCAAAAAAUCAAGUAUUCUUAUCCGUAGAAGGCGACUUCUAAAAGUUUAGAAGAAUGAUAAAAAUUCUGAAUACACUUUCUACUUUGAGUAGACGUAAGAUUACAUUGUAGAAAACACAUUCCUCGAAAUUUAGAAUACUUUAUAAAAGUAGAAGAUGCAUUCGGAAGGAAAGUGGAUACCUUUACGAUUAGUAGAAUGUGCAUUCCUCUUUUUUAGAAAUUUAGUAAAUAGUAAAAUGAACGUUCUAAAAGAAGUAGAUGAACGUGUUUAUUUUAGAAAUCGUUUUCUACUAUACCAUUUUUCAUAGAAGACGCAUUCUACUUUUAGUAGAACGUAUUUUAAAAAUCUUAUUUACCAAGUUUUUGACCAAAAGAAAAUUACCAGCUUGUGUAUAUGGAUGUUUUAUUAAUUGUUUAUAUUUUUAAUAAUUUUUUUGAUUCAUAAAAUUAUUUAUUUCAUUAGUUUUCAGAAAUACAAAAGGUAAAAAGGAGAAAAACUAGACAAAAUUAGUUUUAUACUAAAGUGACAACAAUCUGAUUUUUUUGUUCUCUUUUGGCAAUUUUCCCAAAAAAUUAUAAGUUAACAGCAACAAUCCCGCUUUUUACAACAAUGUUUUGUCCACCUCUCUAAAUGAUCGAAAAGUUGAUCAUAUUUUAAUGUCAUUGUGCUCUCCGUUGAUUGUUUUCCCUUUUCAUCUCAAUUUAGUCUUGUCUAUUUGCAUAUGUGCUUUUGGUGCUAUAUCUUUAUGUGCAUCUAGCUAAUUCCCAUUGCGAACAAUCAAGUUUCACUGGCACCGAUAAACAUACCCCAAAAAAAUUUAGUUGGUUGGGUCUUGGUCCACCGGACAUUCGGUUAUAAAAAUAAAAAAAACUUCUUCUGGUUGUGGAAAAUGGGACGCUCUUUGUUUGACCAUCGAACUUGAUCUCUCGGUCAUUUUUCAAGAUUGUGUGACAAGUUUGUAUGAGCCCAAUGUCACAACUCAUCUUAUCAUCAUAUCUAAUUUUGAAAAGGCUCCUGCUUGUUCAACCACCUGCUUGCUUCUAUUUUGAUUUGAACGAUCCUUUUCGUUUAGUAAACUAUCGUGCAGUUAUAAAUAGUGUUUCUCGUCUAUGAGUUUUUAUUAAAAGAAAAACAGGUACAAUGAAGAACAAAGACAUAAUAAUUAAACCAUAAGAAGAAACAAAGAUCAGUUCUAACCUUCUAAAGAGACUCCUGUUGAUGAUUAUGAUGUCAUAAUUCAAGAAACAAGUAUGACAUCUUCUAUAAAAGAUGAGUCUUAUCAAAGAAGUUACGAAAUUCGAGUUCAUCCCAGAAUAGAGCAAUCUAGCUAGACAUUCUAUAUAGACAAACAAAAAAAAAACAACGAUCAAAUAGUUUAUAACAUCAUAAACAUUCAAC
Brassica rapa (field mustard) is the source of this 4041-nucleotide long non-coding RNA. RefSeq lists it as uncharacterized. The record is from RefSeq and is a predicted model, not a curated record. NCBI's taxonomy places the organism in Eukaryota, Viridiplantae, Streptophyta, Magnoliopsida, Brassicales, Brassicaceae.